Molecule: non-coding RNA, 869 nt
Organism: Xyrichtys novacula (pearly razorfish)
Lineage: Eukaryota; Metazoa; Chordata; Actinopteri; Labriformes; Labridae
Source: the annotation of a GenBank genome assembly
UGGGACAGAGAGCUGGAGAGGCAGAGCAAAACUGGAGGGUUAUACAACAACAUCUUCUGGUAGUUUUGACACUGUUUGGACCAGGAGGAGCUGAAUCUGUAUCUCUGUAGGUGAGUAAAACAUAAGAAGUGCUGCAUUCACUGAUCGAUCACAUCGGCUUUUUUGAUGUAAGUUUAAAACAUUUUCUUUUAGCUGGUCAAGACUAAUAUGUAUUUAAAAUUUUGGCUCCAAUAACUUUGUUUCAGCUCAGGGAUACUGUCAUUUUUAUUAUUUUCAUAUAUUUACCAGACCAUGAACUUAUCACAAUAAUCAUAAAAACUUCAACAGAUAAUCUGUCAGUGAAAACAAACAUUUCCUGCAGCCCAGAACUGCUAAUCUAAAAUUUGAAUGGUAUCAAAUAUGCGCAAAAUCUGUAUGUAUUUGAGUGUCAGUUGCGUCAAUGCUCACCUGUAUGUGUGCCCAUGCAGGAUGAAGAACAAUUCCAGACAUCCAGACUUCGUGUGAUGAAAUUCCUCUGUGGAGUUUCGACUCUGAUGGGAGAUUGAAGGAGAGGGAGUCCCUCAGGUAUGCAGGCCACCAUCUGCUGAUGGAGAGGGAGACAGACACCACUCACAUUCCUGUUGCUACAACAACUUUCGCUCUCAGCUUUAGGAGGAAGGAGACUGAAGGCAUUCCCUGAUUCCUCCCUCCUCUCUCUCCGUUUCUGUUUGUUUUUCUUUGUUUUGCUGCUCAGCACAGACCGGGUCUCCCUGUUGGCACGGAUCUGGACAGAAACUGUUUCGAGCUUGAAAAACAUACCGAGAAAAGUCAGCUUUUCAUAGCAUAACGUCAUGUCAUGGGGUUGUGAUUUCCUCACGAGGAGAUUCCAG